CUGCUGCCUUCCGUAGGAGUUUGGUCCGUGUCUCAGUACCAAUGUGGGGGGUUGACCUCUCAGUCCCCCUAUGUAUCGUCGCCUUGGUGAGCCGUUACCUCACCAACUAGCUAAUACAACGCAUGUCCAUCUCUGACCACCUGAGUUUUCAACCACCGAAGAUGCCUCCGGUGAUGUUAUGGGGUAUUAGUACCAAUUUCUCGAUGUUAUCCCCCUGUCAAAGGUAGGUUACAUACGCGUUACGCACUCGUCCGCCGGUCGCCGG
This 265-nucleotide ribosomal RNA is filed under the name uncultured bacterium. RNAcentral describes it as "partial 16S ribosomal RNA". The record is from RNAcentral.